UGCUAUUAUGUGGUUGGAAUUCCACUGGGAUUUCUUCUUGGGUUGAAGUUCGAUCUUGGCUAAGGGAAUAUGGUCUGGAACAAUCAUUUUAUUAUGUGUGACAAGUCGCACUAAUUGGAAUGAAGAGGUAGAGAAGGCUAGGAAGCGUUUGGAUUAUUGGGAGGACAAGGAACCUGAAAAGAGCUGAAAUGAUCAAAUGAAGAAAGUUCAAUGGCGCACAAGCCUGAAAUAAAUUUGCUGAAUAAUUCAAAAAUCAUCCAUAAUGUAAUGAGUUUAACUGUUUAUUAUUGUUGCGUGG
RNAcentral lists this unclassified non-coding RNA (298 nucleotides) under Hevea brasiliensis (rubber tree). The record is from RNAcentral. Lineage: Eukaryota; Viridiplantae; Streptophyta; Magnoliopsida; Malpighiales; Euphorbiaceae.